RNAcentral lists this ribosomal RNA (468 nucleotides) under uncultured bacterium. RNAcentral describes it as "partial 16S ribosomal RNA". It matches the Rfam family "Bacterial small subunit ribosomal RNA", at positions 28 to 507 of the family's 1533-position model. The record is from RNAcentral.
GACGAACGCUGGCGGCGUGCUUAACACAUGCAAGUCGAACGGAAAGGCCCUGCUUUUGUGGGGUGCUCGAGUGGCGAACGGGUGAGUAACACGUGAGUAACCUGCCCUUGACUUUGGGAUAACUUCAGGAAACUGGGGCUAAUACCGGAUAGGAGCUCCUGCUGCAUGGUGGGGGUUGGAAAGUUUCGGCGGUUGGGGAUGGACUCGCGGCUUAUCAGCUUGUUGGUGGGGCAGUGGCUUACCAAGGCUUUGACGGGUAGCCGGCCUGAGAGGGUGACCGGCAACAUUGGGACUGAGAUACGGAACAGACUCCAACGGGAGGCAGCAGUGGGGAAUAUUGCACAAUGGGCGGAAGCCUGAUGCAGCAACGCCGCGUGCGGGAUGAAGGCCUUCGGGUUGUAAAACGAUUUCGACUGUGACGAAGAGUGAGUGACGGUAAUGGGUAAAGAAGCACCGGCUAACUACGUG